UGGCCCGUUGGUCAAGCGGUUAAGACACCGCCCUUUCACGGCGGUAACACGGGUUCGAAUCCCGUACGGGUCAUGUU
Molecule: transfer RNA, 77 nt
Filed under: Bacillus pumilus ATCC 7061
Lineage: Bacteria; Bacillati; Bacillota; Bacilli; Caryophanales; Bacillaceae
Description: tRNA-Glu
Rfam family: tRNA
About the family: Transfer RNA (tRNA) molecules are approximately 80 nucleotides in length. Their secondary structure includes four short double-helical elements and three loops (D, anti-codon, and T loops).
Source: RNAcentral